RNAcentral lists this long non-coding RNA (19225 nucleotides) under Cucumis sativus (cucumber). RNAcentral describes it as "long non-coding RNA (CSAT_LNC000776)". Lineage: Eukaryota; Viridiplantae; Streptophyta; Magnoliopsida; Cucurbitales; Cucurbitaceae. The record is from RNAcentral.
CAUGCGAAAGGGAGAGGAUGAUGAGGCCUUGGGUUGAGAACCGAUGUGAGCAGCAGCACGGCGUGCCGAACCGGAGAAUGAGCGGAAAGCAGACCGAGCACCAAUUGAGGCCAUUGAUUAUGAGAAGAAAUGGUAGAUUCAGAAGGUUGUUCUUCUUGGUUUCGGAAUAUGAACAAGAGGGAAUUGACUCUUGCUUCAUGGCUGGCUUGCUGAGGGUUAAAGCUAAAACCCUACUUUGGGUCUGAGGGGUUUCUACGAUAGUUGGGGUGAUUUCGAAAUAUCUUUUCAAUAAGGGCUAUUUCGAAAUGAUUAUAAAACUCAUGCCUUUCUUUUAUUUUAAUAAUGGAUAAAUUAGUUUAGUUUGAUUUUGUUUACUUUUUCAUAUAUUUUUUUUUCUCGAGGGCGUGUUUGUAGAGAUGCCCGUUUCACUAGUACCUUCCAAGUAGGCAUUAACUCCCAUUACACCCCAAGCCAUGUGACAACCAACAACCCUGGUGAUAAUUUCAUGUCAUUGGGCAAAUUAUAGAGUUCAUCGAUGGUCACCUCGUUGAAGUAGACCCUUUCCUCUGUCUCUCUUCUUCUUCUUUCUUUUCCUUCCCCACCUUUAGAAAAGCCACAAGACCCUCCUUAUCUUCAUCAUCAACUUGUAAUUCAAAUGAAUUCGUGGAUGCCUAAACCUCUAACGCCUCAUCCACCGGCACUUCCCCUUUUCCAUGUUUUAAAUGUCUAUAGCUCGGGGUGGGCUGAUUCAUCACUUCGUCUCCCACUUAUCGUGUUCUUACGUGAUCCAAAUCACUUAAGUCUCCAAAUAUUUCUUCGUCCUCCCUCCUCCUCAAUUCGCUUGCAAAUGCAAUUGGAAGUUGGGUUUGUCCCAAUGGACACUGUCUUAGGCAUAUCAAAACGCACAGUAAAAAGGUUUUCAAUAUGUUUGGGCUUAGUGAAUUUUUUUCUCGUAGAGCCCUCAAGUUUGGUGCUCUACAAGGAAGAUUGGUUGGAUUUCUUAAAAGAGGGGACAAGGGCGGUGAAUGGUUGUUUCUGGGUAGCGGUGGAUGAGGAUUCCUCCUUUCUUUUAAGGAAUUUGGAUGUCUUGGCGAGUUCAAGGGUGGAUUUCUGUUGGCUGGUCAUUAUGAGUAAGGUUGAUGGGAUGAGUUUUCUGGCGAGAAUGAUGAAUUUUCUGGUGAGAGCAAGAACGCACAGAGAGUUCUAAGAAACCCUGAAAGUCGAGAAUGCAAAUGACGCAAACCGAAGGUUUUAUUCACUGUUUAUAAGCAAAAUACAUUGGGGUAGAUCAUCAUUAGCGUUCAGGGGCAUUAAAUGAGAUCUGACAACCCUGGUGGCGCAUGUGAGACCCAUUUCUAAUUUGGGUAAGGAAGUAAAAUUCGGCUAAGUAUUAAGAAGUUGGCGUUUGAACAAAUUCACAAAAAGAAUUUAGUAACAAAAUCUUUUAUGGUUAAAGUAUAUGUUUUUGCGAUUAAGUGGAUAGUUCGUGGAAGAAGUUGUGCGAUAAGAAGAGAAAAAAUCUUUGCGUAAGUUAAGAAGUAAAAGUUGGUUAGUUCACGUGGAAGGUUUCUUAUAGUAAAAAUAUAACUACGCGAUAAGGUUAUUCACGAGAAAUGAUUAAGUGGUUGAAGUUAUUCACUGUUUGGGUUAGGCGAGAAGCAAGGUCUGGCGAUGAAAAUGUCAAAUCUAAUUUUACAGGGGUUAACGUAUAAGAUUAAGGAUUUAAGCAUGGCUGGGUUGAAUAUUAAAUUUACACGUGCGGAGGUUUAAGCAAGAGCUGGCGAAUUGAGAAGACUUUAUGCAUGACUAAGUUAGUUUAAGGGCUCUAUAAAUAAGAUGAUUUGGGUAACUAAGGAGAGAAUGAUGAGAGUUUUGUUGAAAUGUUAAAGAGCUAGUGGUUUAGUCACGCGAGAAAAUGCUUGCAAGAAGAAGAAGAAGGGCUUCUUUAGUAAAGUUUGGAGAGUGACUUUCUUAAAUGUUUUUAUGUUAAAAUCUUUCUUGUGAUUUCCCUUUACUAUUUUGAAAAAUGAUUUCAACGAGAAAGUGUUUCAAAAAAAGAUUUCUAUAAAAAGUUUAUAUGUGUUCAAGCAUGAUUUAUAAUGUUAAAGCUUGAUUUGAUGAUUGCAAUUUCAAUACUAUGAAAUAUGGUUUUCAAAUCAUUAGUUGAUUCCUUGAGAUGAUGUUAACUUUUAUGUGCACAUACAUAGUCAAGGUCACCAUGGGAUGUACGGACUACAUGGUGAUAGGAAGUUGACUUAUGGGUUGAAAGAAGUGUAUAAAGCUUAGCAACCUAAGCAACAAGGAUGAAUCGGAUGUUGUUGUUACAGUAGCCAAAUGCAAGGUAAUGAAACCGAGCGUAGAGAACGAUUCGAGAUCCUUGGUGAAAGGAAUGACUGUUAGCUAAUGUGUACAUGUGAAAUUGUUAUGUUAUAAAUGUAUUUCUUAAGCACAAAAAAAGGUUUAUGCGAAAUGAAAUGAUUAGAUGUUGUUUAUGUGAAAUGAUUAUGAAAAGGUAUUGCGAAAAGUUUUCAAAAUCUCACUAAGUAUUUUACACUUACGUUUUAAAAAUCUAUCUUCCAGGAUUGAACGUUUAGGCCAAGUAGAGAAGAAGGUUAAAGGAUUUGCGGUGAGAUGAUUCAAGGCGUUUUGAAAAUGGAUAAGCCUUGGUUAUUUGGUCAAAGUAUUGUAAUAAUGUAUGAAACGUCUCUUAUUAAUAAAGUUUACGUUUUGAUUUGUAUUUACUAUGUUUGGCAUUCCAUUGUCCUCCGUUGCAUUUUGAUUGUUAAUAGUUUAAAAGGAGUUUGAGAAUAAGAUUUUGCCAUAAGAAAAUUUAGGUUGUAACAAACUCGCAUCCUAUUCCUACUACUUCGGUGUUAUCGUCGCAGUACGGUUUGGGGUGUGACAGGGCAUCCUUUUGAAAUCAGGAAUGACGAUUGCAUUAAAUGCACCUCUUCGAUUCCCACUUUGAGGUACAAGUUCCUAGACGUGAGUUUUGAGCAAAAAAACUAUUUUGGUCUUAUGUCGCCUAAAGGUAUCUCACAUGCUCAUUGUCAGGUCACAUUCUAGAACUUAGGCUUUGCUUCUCUUUUUAUCAAUCCUCAGUAUGACACAAAAAUGUUUAAGCUAGAAAACAAUAAAGGAAAGUAGUAAAGCAAGCGAUAAAUGAUGCAAGAAAGAAAAAGAAAACAAUCAAACAAAUAAAUUGAAAAGAAAGAAAAAUAAAGUAUUAAAGCAAUGCACAAAAAUGAUACACUUGUAUUAAAAUGUGUCUAUGAGAAUUAUACAAAUGCAUCAACAAGUCAAGAAAAUUUAAAUAAAGACGUUUUACUUUAAAUCCACAGAGACUUUGAUGCGAUCUUCAUCUUCAUAGUACGCCUUGAGUCUUUGCCUGUUAACCUUGAACACGUUAUUUAUGUUCAGCGACGCAAUCUCCACAGCACCAUGUGGGAAGAUCUCUUUGACCACAAAUGGCCAAGACCAUCAUGAAUGAAGUUUUCCUGAAAACAUACCUAAAUGCAAGAUAAAGAGUAGUACCUUUUACCCUGGGUACAACUCGCAUUUACAGAUGUGGUGGUCAUGUCAUGCCUACGUCUUUUCUUUGUAAAUUUUGGCUUUCUCAUAGGCUUGAGAAGACCACUCUAGAAGCACAUGUAAUUGAAGCAGACUCGCCUCUACUACGGCGUGAUAGUUAAAGUUUAACUUUUUUGCACGCCUAUAAUGCCUUAUGCUCCAACUUAAUUGUUAAGUGACAUGUCUUCCCGAAGACUAAGGUGAUAUUCCAAUUGGUGUCUUUGUUUGGUCCAAUCCUUGUGGGAUAAAUUUACCACUUUCUUCAAUAUGUUCUUAAUUUUCUUGUUGGAUACUUCUAUAAUACAUGUAUCUUCCAUCACAUUUGCUUGCUAGAAAGUUGAGAAGAUAAGCUAAGAGUUUGCCCAAAAGUCUAAGGCUAAGUCAAGGAUCUCAAGAUAGCAUCUCGAGGCAGGUUGAAGUAAAGCAAGUACUAAGAGAGGAAUCUUGGGGGUAGAGGUACUAAGACUCGAUCCUGUACAGUCGAGAAAAAAGGCAGGUAAGAGACAUAAGUAAGAAUCUGGGGCUAGCCUUAAGAAUUUUGGUGAGAUGGAAAACAUAGAGUAAAUCUUGGUGCUAUGGCAGGGGUAUCUUGGUGCUUGUCAACCGAGUCAAAAGAUAGAAAGGCCUUGGAGUUGAAUCUUGGGCCAUCUCAAGGCUGUGGCAGACCGAGAUGAAAAACAAAGAGGUUUGGAGAUAUGCUCUCAGGCCAUCUCGAGGCUGUAGAAACCUAAGAUAGAAAAUAGAAGGUUGUAGAGAUGGAUCUUAGGCCAUCUCAAGGUCAUGUUCGACCGAGACGGAAAGCAUAAAAUGAAUUUAUUAGGGUUCUCGAAUAUGUCUAGCUAGGAAGAGUAAAAAUCUUGGUGGAUCUCAGGCCAAUCUUGGCUGAGAUCACUUAAAGACACAUGGCAGACAAACUUCUAGAAAUUUAUAUCUCAUGAAGGCUAGAGUUUUUCGAACAUAAAAAGCAUUUUAAGUCUAAAAGACCGUCAUUUCUCUCAUUUCUCACCAUUUUCACUUCAAGAGCAAAGUAUAGAGAAGAAGUUGAGAGAAGUUGAGUUCCUUGUAAGAGAGAAGUCAAGGUAAGAGGGUAGUUUGACGUCAAGCUCAGUUGGGUGUUCGAUCAAGAGGCAUUCAAGAAGGCAAGAAUGUUGGCGAGUUUGAGCUAAAGAGGAAAAGUAAAGCUUGAGGUUAGAUCCAAGUAAGUCAAAGUUCUUCUUCCUUGGUUAAGAAGCUUAAGAACAAGUUUUCUAGGUUAGGGCUUGUCAUUUUAGCUUUAAAUCAGUUGAGAAUCGUGUAGAGCUAGGGCAAACUUGAAGAACCGGUCUUGAAGAAUCGGUCUUGAGCAAGCUAAGACUACCCAAAGUGUUCAAAGAAAUCGAGAUUAGUAAGAAAAGAGUUCUCUUGAGAAGAAAAGGAAAAAGAAGUAAGAAGUUGAAGAACUUUCCUUUAGUUGUAACCCAAAGUAAGUUGAUAUUUUCUCAUUAUUUUCAGGGCAAGAAGAAAUAAGGUAAAUCUAUAACCAAGAAUCUAGCCAAAAGCUGUUAGUGAGAAAAAUGAUUUUCAAAUGAAUAUCUAAACUUGAUUAAUUAAGUUAUAUCUAUAACAUGCUUUGAGUUAAAGUAUUUGAAUUAUACUUGAGUUAUAAAUGCAUUACAAACCAUGAGUUUCAAGUUUAGAAAGAGUUUGAUGAGAUUUAUAAAUAAGUAUGCAUGAUUUAAGUUUAAAAGCAUUUGAGUGAACAUGUUUAUUGAACAUGAGAGUUUUUAGGAAAUGAAUUGAUUAUUGAUCGAGCUUAUGAAAAUAUCUAAGUUAAAGAUAACAUUUGAUUGCAUCAGAAUAUAUUAAUUCUUAUGUUUGACAGUAUGAUUAUCUCAGAUUUAAGGAUCAAUUAUUUGAGAUUAUUUAGGACACAUGUCCAUGUAAUAAUCUAAAAAAGGGGUUAGUCCAAUUCUUAAUCUCUAAUAAGAAAAUAUGAUUAUAAUUUAUUUCUCUACAUAUAAUCAUCAUAUGAUUAUCAAUUAUAUCUCAUAUUAAUCUUAAUUUAUUAUUGUUUCCACAACAAAAAUCGAUUAAGAACAUUUAUAAUAUAUUAACAUAUUCAUAGAUAUUAUUAUACAAUAACAUGCAAUUGCAUAAUAAUGAGAAUAAUAACUUUUAUUGAAUAGUUAAAUAAUAAAACAAACCUAUAAAAUUAUUAUAGAGCACAAUAAAAAAACCAACAUUUUUAUCCAUUGUCUCUUUUUCAUACUUUUGCUAUCCAUCUUGUUGAUGUGUUUUAAGUAGUUUAAGUUUAAGUUUUGUACUUAAUAAGGAUUCUUUGGCUAUAAGUCUCGUUGUCUUUAGUUGAGUUUAACUCAAUCGCUUGGCUAGCAUUGAUCGUCAACUGCUCUAGAGAGUAAAUACCAAAGGACAUAGCUAAACACAUACAUGAGGGAGUUUGGAAACAAACUCUAUUCUGGUGUUUUAACUCCAAUUAUUUGUGUCCGAAAAGGAGAACAAGUGUGGUGUUUAAGCGCCAAAAAGUUGCUUGUCUUAAAUAUAAGAUGGUAAAGUGAUCUAUAUUGCUUCAAAGACAUGCCACAUAACUUAUAUUGCCUAGAAUACUAAGGCUUUUCUUCAUCUCUCUUAACGCAAGUUAGUUCACAUUCCAUAAACAUCUCAUUCCAUUUCCCUCUACAAAACUCCUCUGUGUAAAUAAAUAGAUUAGUGUAGUUUUAUACGCAUACUGUAUAGAAUUUAUACUGCCUAGUUGAGAAAUAAGCGUUAUAGCUAAGUUUUGAUAGCAAUUCCUUGUGUUCAACUCUGGCUUACCUAGGAAACCUCUCGCUUUGCUUACACUUGGACAAGCGUGAGGAAAACUUAUACUCAACGUAGAUCAUGAUAAAAUUAGCAACACAUAGAUAGAACAUGCAUCUUUUAUUGCAUAAUCCUAGCCUAGAUCCAUGUAUUAGUUGCAUUAUUAGAACCUUUCAUGAUACAUCCACGAACGAAUUUUGGAUAAUAAAGUAAUAACAAUGCAGAAUUCCAAACGAGCAAGCAAUGUGGCAUUGAAAGGUUGCUUGUCUUAAUUAGUACGUGAACGCAUAAAUCACGUUUAGAGAUACAGGAUUGAAGAAACCUCUUGUCCCGACUUACCACAUACUUGUAAACAAUUAGAUAAAGUUCUAAGUCACCUAAACUACUUCCAUCGCAUUUCAUUUUGCGUAGCAUAACAUAGGUCCAUUCUCCAUCAAUUUCAUUAUUAUUUCCCACCAAGUUCUGAGCAAGAGAGUGACGAUUAAUUCACAAUUCAAUAGCAAUAUUUCCUUGUAUUCGUCUCUGAACUCACUAGGACCUAGUUUAGUUUACACUUGGAUUGGAUUAGGAAAACUCGUACUGCAAGACAUAUUGCCAACUCAUUUUAUCAUAUUCACGCAACGCAUAACUUUACAUCUUCACACCCAACACAACAAUUUGUAUUAGAUUAAUGAUUCAAGGAGGAAUGACGUGAUUCCACCUCUUUGAGUGUCUCCAUACUUUGCAAUCAAUAGUAAAAACUAUUUGUAAAAAAUAAACAUAACUCGAUUCACGUAAUAUUUGUAUUAGUAAUUUUAAAAUAAAAAAUUUGAUUCCCUUCACCUCUGUAUUGUCAAAAGAACGAUCAUUUUAUUUGUCAAUGUUAAGUUCAAAUUUUAUUUGUUUUUUUAUGUUCGUUGCAUGUCUAACUAUUUAUCCAAAUGCAAAUGGAAAUUAUGAAAAGAAACCGAGACAAUCAAGCAAACCAACCAAACCAUACAAUCUACCCGUUGUGUGCUAUAUACAAACCAAUUUGGUUCAAGUUACUCUAGUGCAUUUUGGUUUGCUCUACUAGUUUCAAUUUUACUUCAUAGAUUAUUUAACUAAUUUCAAUAAAAUUUUGGAGCCAUUUAUUUAGCUUCUUCAAUGUUCGUGAAAGGCCAAUUUCAACAUGAUAUUCAUACUCCAUUACAGAAUUAAAACAUGGUUGAUCGAAAACCAAACAAACAAUAUUUGUUACCAUGCUUUAAACUUGGCAAAUGACUAACUAGACGUUCACAUCUACAUUCUGAUUUGGGUUAUACCAAUAAUCCAAUUGAAAGUCAUAGGAAAAUCUAGGCACAACUAUGAUAUCUCUGAUGAAGAAUCUGAAUUUGAGGUACAAACAAGCAAUGGAAAUGGCAAAUUCAACAUUGUUGCAAACCUUCAUGCUAGACAUGCUGAUUGAAUAUCACCGCCCUAGAAAACAAAACAAGACGCAGUCAGACAGCUAGAACUCACAUUGUAAAGACAAGUUUCUCAAUAGACUUGAGGCCUCAACUGAAAAGCAAAGCUGGCUAGCAGUAUAUAUAGGCUAUAAUGAUCAAGGAGGGAGCAGUAGAAAAAAGUGUGCCUUUUGGAUUGAAAAUCUUCUCUUUGAUAUUUUAACCAUGAUGAUUGAAGACACUUGUAUUUCAACCACUCAUCUUAGCACAUAUUUCAAGUCAAUAAUAUCGAAGCAGCUACAAAAUACAAACCCUACUUUCCAGUAACAAGACGAAGUUGUCAACUGCUCAAAGCAAAUUCAAUGAAAAAAUUAGCAUUAUCACAUACAAUUGUUAACAAUCAAUGAGUACGAAAUAGAGAAUAAAUACUAAAAAAUUAAAAUUAAAUCAGUCUUCAAAUAACAAUAAUCCAUUGCCAUUGAUCGGAAGCUCUUCUUCACAAACCACCAUUUGGAGCAUGGAAGCUUCUACUUAAUAGAAGUCACUGCCCGUAUAGAUCCUCUUGGUAAUUUAUCAUAGAUCGUCAUUGCAUGCUGAUGAACACAAGUGACCAGUGUGUCAGUUUGAUAUUUUAAUCGAAACAAGAAACAAUUUGGGAGGUGAUGAGCAUGCUCAUCAAAGAGAUGUGUAGAUUGACAUUUUCCAAGUUUAAACUUAAGAGAUGGAAAUUUAGGACCUAAUUUUGGGUCAUGGAAACUACAAACAUUCAUUCUAUUUGGAAGCAAAGGAUGUUUCAGCGUAUCAUUCAUAAAGAAAACUUCAACUUUUCACUGACCACUUCAAACUUCUUCCCAUGGUACUUAUGACAGAGUAAUAUAUGACUUUGCAACUUCCAUCUUUAUAAAGUAGUGGAAAUGAAAAGAUGACAACAAAUCAACAGACCCAAAUACUUGAUUAACAAAGCAAACUUUGCAAAACAAUAUUUAAACUAUGUAGAAGCCAAAUUUAUUCUACAAGGAUCUAGUAGGCUGUAGUCCAAUAUAGUUGCAGAAUAAAAUUGAAUAUAUAAUCUUUCAACAUGUUAAAAACAAUCAUCUACGAACGAAGUGAACGAAAUAGUGUAUCAUAGUUUAUUAUUUCAUUCCAAAUACAAUCAUCUCAUUUAACCUAUUGAUGGAAUCAUCUCUAGAUGUUUUUCUUUUUUUGCUUUCUUUUCUUUGUCCUGGGGGUGGGCCAAGGGGGGGUGGCAUCGCUAGGACUUAGAAGGGGAAACUCAAAAAACAAAUCAAGUCAUUCCUUCCUGCUUCUCGAUCCUCAUCUAGUCUUGUCUUUGCCUACAUUGAAAAAAGGGGAACGUGCCUUUUCAAUUAACAAUUUGAAUCAGAAAUGGAAGGUUUUUGCAUAAAUGACUCAUUCUAGUACCAUACAUUACAAAAACAUUUAAAACACCCGCGUUCAGCAAGAGGACUUAAACUCUGAUCGACAAAUGGUAAUUGGUGGGUGGAGGAAAGAAAGAAUGAAUCGAUCUUGUUUGUUAAGCUUGUUUGCAUCCUAGUUUGAAGAGUAUCUACUUGAUGUGAUAACCUGUCUAAUAGAGGGAAAUGAUCGAGUUUGUUGUGCAUGCAUGUUAUUAUACAAUUUCGUUCAAUUUUAUCAGUCCUAUACGAGUUUAUAGGCACCAACUCACCAGAGCAACAAGAAGGCAAGAAGAACAUCAAUGGGCCUAUAAAUUGUGCUAGCUACCUAAUUCAAGAGUAAAAAAUCCACUAGUUAGAUAGCCUUCUUGUUUGUACACAAGUUAUCAAAUUGUAUAAUAACUUGAAAAACGGGGAAUGUGCUUUUUCAAUUAACAAUUUAUCACAUCAAGUUAUGUUAAAAGGAGCAGAUCCAAUUCUCCUUUCAAAACAAAAAAUAAAGAAAAUGGUGGAACCGGACCAGGUAUCUCUAUGUUUACAGGUUUUAUAUCGAGUGGAGAAACAAGAAAUAGUCAUUCGUAAGAAAAAAGCUCAAGAAGUGAUCAGAAAACUGACAUAUUUAUACACAUCAGUACUUAAAUUUAGGCAAAAGAAAGCUUUUCAUGGUGUAGCCUCUCAUGAUUCAAACACAUUAACUACCUUAAUUAUAGAAUACAAGCAUAGAUAUUUCAUCCGCCAAAAACAUCAGAUCACUGUGGCUAAUGUGACCCCUAAACCUAAAUAUGGAUAUCACUAUUUCAAAUUACAGUUGAUCAUUAUUCCCACUCAAACUUGAUUUUUCCUGAUUCAAGAAAAUAGUUAUAAAGAUAAAAUUCAUCCAACGAAAAACAAAUGCAAAUAGAAAAUCAGCUUCCAGAAAAUUAUCAACUCUUUCUUGUCAACGGAAGAAUUCAUUCUGAAAUUAUGGAUGUGGUCUAAAUUCUUUCUUGGCUCAUAACAGAUCAAGAAAGUAAAGAAUUAAAUUAUCAGUUAUGCACCUUCGGGGAGCCAACCACAGCUGUGGCGUGAGAUAGAGAGCAUUGAAGUCAUCAAAGCUGAGGACGACACAGAGUGAAAUGGCAUCAUUGACUCCAAACAGAAGCUCAUCUCAGGCGCACACCUUCAAGCAAAAUAGAUUACCUUAUUUUACUGAAACGUUUCACAACUAAAACACUGAAGAGAGAAAUAAAGAUGAAGAUUGAACACUGUUUUCGUUGUUCUACUUCUGGGGAGAACAAAAGAAAAAAACUGAAAGAGCUCUAGAUUCAGAAACUUUUCGCACUUAAAACGGAUGCAAAAGCAUUAAGAAACGAACCUGAAAGUACGAUGAGAGAGGGGUUUGUUAGUUGCCAUGCGAAAGGGAGAGGAUGAUGAGGCCUUGGGUUGAGAACCGAUGUGAGCAGCAGCACGGCGUGCCGAACCGGAGAAUGAGCGGAAAGCAGACCGAGCACCAAUUGAGGCCAUUGAUUAUGAGAAGAAAUGGUAGAUUCAGAAGGUUGUUCUUCUUGGUUUCGGAAUAUGAACAAGAGAGAACUGCCUCUUGCCUGGCUGCUGAGGGCUAAAGCUAAAACCCUACUUUGGGUCCUGAGGGGUUACUACUAUACUUGCGUAAUUUCCAAAUAUCUUUUGAAAAAAAUGGCACUUUCUAAUUAAAUAAUAUGUAUUCUAACUAUUCAUUUAUAAAAUAAUCUAUUUUACACAAAUCUUUAAACGAAAAUUAUAAACAUUUAUAAAAAGUCUAAUCAAAUCUAAAUUUUAAACUUAUUUUCACGAAAAGGUUUAAAAGAAAAUGUAUUACUCAAAAAUAUUUUGUUUUUAAUUCAAUUAAUAAUAUUUUUAUUCCUUUGUUUUAUUUAAAUAAUGUAAUUACGAUUUUGAUUUUUUUUAAUUAUAGUUUUAAUUUAACUUUCACAAUACAUUUUUAUAUUAACUUUUAUAAUAAGUAAAAAAUAAAUAGUAAAUUUAGAGAUUUCAUAAUAUAUUAUCUCAAAAUUUAUAUUUUAUUUUAAUUAUAAUUUAAAAUAAAAUUAUACUUUUUUUAAUGUAAGUGUGAAAUUAUAUAUUUCAACCCAUGCACAAUUACUCUAAAAGCAAAUGAUUCAAUAAAAUAAAUAUUAUAAUUAUAUUAAUUUUGUUAAAAAUGUCAUUCGAUAUUAUCAUUAAUGAGUACUUGAACAAAUAUCUAAUCAUAUUUUGUAAAUAUUCAAAAGUUCUCUACAUUUGUCAAAAGUUAAUUUAAAUUUUAAUCCUACCUUAUGAAUAUUUUUUUUAUAUAUUUUUACUAAAGAAAAUAUGCACAAGGCUUUGAAACUGCAUUUUUUUAAUUUGCAUUUAUAACGAGUUGUAGCUUGAGGUCCUAAAGGAAAAUAAUUAUUUGCAUGACCACGUAUUUUAUAAAUAAUACUCAUGUAUUAUAAAGAAACAAUAUUAUAUACAUAUAUGUUUAUAUUUUUAAACAUCAAAGUCCCUAGAUCUCACACAUUUUCUAUCUCCACCGUGCAACCAUUAUCCUUCUUUAGAUUACUCAUGAUUUUCUUCUUGUUUAAUUCAAUUGAUCACAUUUAGUUGUCAUAUCUGUUGCAUUAAGAAAAAUACAUCAUCUCGUUCACUAACAACAAUUAUUACUCUUGCAACAAAAUUAAAAGUACUAUGCAAUAAAAAUCUUUGAUUCCCUCAAAAAAAUGAUAAAGACCAUUUUAUUUGUCAACAUUACCAAGUUCAAAUUUUAUUUAUAUCUUAGUAACUAUCGUACACAAAUUUAAAGUACAAUUUCUAAAAUCUCAAAGAAUUGCACCACAUUAUUCAUCACAUGUCUAGAUCUCUCUCAACCCACUUUAAUCGAACUUUUUUUCCUAUUAAGAAAAGACACGAAGAAAACCAAGCAAAUCAUACCAUCUAUCCAUUGUAUAACAAAAUAUAUAUGAACCAAUUUGGGUUAAGUUAAUUUAGUGCAUUUUAAUUUCCACUAAUAAUUUCACAUUGACUUUAUAGAUUAUUUGACUAAUUUUUUUUAAAAAAAUUGAGUUAAUUUAGGGCAUUUUGGUUUGCACUAGUAGUUUCACUCUAACUUUAUAGAUAUUUUACUAUUUUCGAUAAAAUUUUCGAGCAAUUUGUUUAGUUUGUUCAAUGUUGGUGAAGGCCAAUUUCAACAUGAAACUUCCUACUCCUUUACAAAAUUAGAACAUGAUUUGAGCGAAAACCAAACAAACAAUAUCUGUUCUCAUGCUUUAAACUUGGCAAAUCACUAACAAAACGUUCUCACAUCUAGAUUCUGAUUUUGGUUAUUAUACCAAUAAUCCAAUUGAAAGCCAUGAAAGAGUUUCAGAUAAUCCAAGGCAAAACUAGUAUGUUUCUAAUGAAGAAUCUGAAUUUGAGGUACAAAUAAGCAAUGACUGACAAAUUCAACAUAGUUGUAACCCUUCAUGCUAGAAAACAAAACAAAACAAGAGGCAGUCGGACAGCAAGAACUCAACAUUGUAAAGACAAGUUUCCUAAUGGACUUGAGGCCUCAACUGAAAAACAAAGUUGGCUAGCAGUAUAUAUAGACUACAAUGAUCAAUGAGGGAGCAAUAGAAAAACCUGUGCUUUCUGGUUUGAAAAUCUUCACUUUGAUAUUUUAACUAAGUUUAAAGACACUAGUAUUCAACCACGCAUCACUAGCACAUAUUUCAAGUCACUGAUAUCGAAGCUGAUACAAAAUACAAACCCAUUUUUCCAGUAAGAAGACGAAGUUGUCAAUUGCUCAAUGAAAUAUUCAACGAAAAAAUUAACAUGAUCACAUACAAUUGUUAACAAUAAAAGGGUCCGAAAUAGAGAAUCAACACUAAAAAUUAAAAUUAAAUCAGUCUUCAAAUAACAAUAAUCCAUAGCCAUUCAUCGGAAGCUCUUCUUCACAAACCACCAUUUGGAGCAUGGAAGCUUCUACUUAAUAGACGUCACCAUCAGUAUAGUUCUUCUUGUCACUUAUCAUCAUUGCAUGCUGAUGAACACAAGUGACCAGUGUGUUACUAAUGACAGUUUGAUAUUUUAAUCAAAACAAGAAAUAAUUUGGUAGCUGAUGAGCAUGCUCAUCAAAGAGAUGUGUAGACUGACAUUUUCCAAGUUUGAACUUGAAAAAAUGGAAAUUUAGGACCGAACUUUGGGUCAUGGAAACUACAAAACAUUCAUUCUAGUUGGAAGCAAAGGAUGUUUCAGUGUAUCAUUCUGUUAGAUCCCCAGUCCUUCAUACAUAUAAAAGAAAGGGUAAAAAGGGGAAACUCACGAAAUAGCCAAGGGAAAGCUGAGAGAGGGAAAGAAACACCUAUUAGCCCACUAGAGACAUGGAUAUAAAUAAGGAAUAUUUUGGGUAUGAAAACUAGGUCUGGAUUUCGGUGAAAGCUGCUAUAGGCUUUUAGGAGAAGUUGCCGGCCAUUCUCGAAGGAGCUGGAUUUUUCUUUUACUAUUCCUAUCAUUUGGGUUACCUAUAUUACUUGUUAUUUUUUAUUCUUGUUUGUCUAUGAAUCUUGUAUCAUUUUAUUAAUAUACUACUACAGAGUAUUGUCUCUAUUUAGUCCUUUUGUUGAGAUCUUUCUUAAUUUCAGGUUUAGAAUCUUUACACAUUCGUAAAGAAGACUUCAACUUUCCACGGACUACUUCAAACUUCUUUCCAUGCUACUUAUGGACAGAAAUAUAUGAAUUUGUAACUUCCAUCUUUAUGAAGUUGUGCAAAUGAAAAGAUAACAACAAAACAACAGAACCCAAAUACUUGAUUAACAAAGUAAAUUUUGCAAAACAAUAUUUAAACUAUGUAGAAGUCAAAUUUAUUCUACAACGAUCUAGUAGGCUGUAGUCUGAUAUAGUUGCAGAAUAAAAUUGAAUAUAUAAUCUUUCAACAUGUUAAAAACAAUCAUCUACAAACGAAGUGAACGAAAUAGAGUAUCAUAGUUUAUUAUUCCAUUCCAAAUACAAUCAUCUCAUUUAACCUAUUGAUGGAACCCUCUCGAGAUGUUUUCUUUUUCUUUCUUUACUUUGUCUUGGGGGUGGACCAAGGGGGGUAAGGUAGCAUCGCUAGGGCUUAAAAGUGGAAACUCAAGAAACAAUACAAGUCAUUUCUUCCUGCUUCUCGAUCUUCAUCUAGUCUUGUCUUUGCCUACAUUGAAAACAGGGGAAUGUGCUUUUUUAAUUUACAAUUUGAAUCAGAAAUGGAAGGCUUUUGCAUAAAUGACUCAUUCUAGUAAUAGAACAAAAAGAUUUAAAACAUCCGAGUUCAGCAAAAGGACUUGAACUCUGAUCGACAAAUGGUAAUGAGAGGUGGAGGAAAGAGAAUGAAUCAAUCUUGUCUGUUAAGCUUGUUUGCAUCCUAGUUUGAAGAGUAUAAGCUUGAUGUAAUAACUUGUCCAAUAGUGGGGAAAUGACUGAGUUUGUUGUGCACACAUGUUAUUAUACAAUUUCGUUCAAUUUUAUCAUUUCUAUAUGAGUUUACAGGCACCAACUCACCAGAGCAACAAGAAGGCAAGAAGCAUCAAUGGGCCUAUAAAGUGUGCUAGCUACCUAAUUCAAGAGUAAAAAAUCCACUAGUUAGACAGCCUAGAAGCAGAUCCACUUCUCCUUUCAAAACAAAAAAAAUAAAGAAACUUAUGGAACCGGAUCAGGUAUCUCUAUGUUUACAAGUUUUAUAUCGAGUGGAGAAACAAGAAAUAGUCAUUCAUAAGAAUAAAGCUUGAGAAAUGUGUUAAGAUUCUCAACCUGAAACACAGAAAAAUUCCAACAAUGGCAAGACAGACCAACUAUGAUCACGUGAUGAACAGAAAGUAAAUGCACGAAAGCAAUAAGAAAUUAUAAACCCAGCUCCUUCGAGAAGGCUGGAAACCUCUCCUAAAAAGCCUACAGCAGCUUUCUUUUAUAAGUGUGGAGGAUUGGGGGUUAGCUGCUCGGCUUGAAUUGCACCUUGUCCUCAAGGUGGAAGGAGGUAAAUUGUUGAUUCAUUAAGUAUAUUGAUUCCUAGGUGGCUUCACUAUCCGGCAGUCCCUUCCAUUUUACCAACCAUUCGUUUGCUACAAUCUCCUCAUUCCAUCUUACCUCCAUUACUGAUUUCGGCCUCAACUGCAACUCGAACUCUUCGACCAACAUUGGGAGAAUAUGCUGGACCCAUUGAGUUUGUCCUAACUUUAGUUUCAGUUGUCACAUAAAGAACAUUAUGGAUGGUUGCCUCCGAGGGUAACUCAAGGUGAUAGGCCACUUCUCCUAUCCUCUCCAUAAUUUGGUAGGGCCCAGAGAACUUCGGUGAGAGUUUCUCACUUCCUCUUUUUUGCUAAGGAUCAUUGCUGGUAUGGUCUCAACUUCAGAUACACCUCCUCUCCCACUUGGAAGUUCAACUCUCUCCAGCGUAGGUCAGCUUGUUUUUUCAUCCGAUUCUGGGCAAUUACUAGGUUCUCCUUCAAGGCAUUAAUUAUCAUAUACCUCUCUUUCAAUUGCUGAUCAGCACAGUUAUUGGUUGUCUUCCUUUCACAGUAUGAAAUAAGGGGAGGUGAGGGCCUACCAUACACUACUUGAUUUAUCGUCCCAUUUUUCACAUUCUGGGUUUGGGCCUUAGAUGCCUCCGGCCCACGACCACCCCAUUCACUUAGGGCCAACUUAAUUGCUAAAUCCCUAUAACUCAUCAAUUGGGCUUCUCGCAUACAAUCUUCCAAGGUGACUGGAUGGCGACUCUUCACUUUGACUUGAAGAGUGGUCUCCAACCCUGUGAAGAACACAUCAAUCAGAACACUCUCCGGCCUCUGCCAUCUCCGGCAAGGGCGCGGAAUAGUUCAGAAACUUGCUUAAUCGGUAUGAGACAGGCACCCAAACUAUCUUCACCAGGAGCCUUAAAGUGUUUGAACAUCCUCCUCUUGAGAUCUUCCCACAACGUAAUCUUCUUUUGAGUGUUAGUCGAACGAAACCAAUCAACCUCGUCUUAUGCAAAGCUGACGACUGCUACCUUCACCUUCUCCUCGUCAGCCAACUCAUUGAUGUCAAAAUAGUGUUUGGCCCUAUAGACCCAUGAUUCCGGGUUUACGCCAAUGAAAACAAGUAUCUCCAACUUCUUAUAUUUACUUCUAUCCAAUGGACCUCCGGUGAGAACCGAAGUCGUGUCUGUUUCUUUGACCUUUUGUUUCAUUUUUAGUCCAGACCCAUCUGAGGCACGAGAUUCUUCCCUAUGUUUAGUAAGGCUGCUCUCCUUCACUUUUUCUGUCAGUUUCUCUAUACUCUUAUGCAGACCAGGCAUCACUUCCUUCAAUCCCAAAAUCUCUUUCUCACUCGUUUCAUAUCUCUCCUCCCACAGUUUCUAUGUCAUUGCUCGUGUCUUCCCCAGGAUGUUUGUGGCUUUGAUACCAAUUUGUUAGGACUCUUCCCCUGCACAUAGAAAAUCCCAACAACAAUACAAAAACAGAGAUGAUACUCUGUAGAUAUUUAUAUAUAUCUAUCAAUCAGAAAGUGCUCACAAUGAUAAUCGAGAACAAAAGAGAACAAGAACAACAAGAUAAGAAAAAUGAAAAUGAUAGUAAAGGACUCCCAGCAAUUCGAAAAGUUGGCUGUCUCCCUAAAAGCUCUCACAACAGUUUUUCCAAAAAUAAAACCUACUUCAUCAAUCCCUAAAAGCAUUGCUUAAGUAACUCCAUUUCCUUGAUGGGACCCUCCAGGAUAUUCGUUUCAUUUAUUUCUAUUGGUUGUGUUGUCUUCUUGAACAUUCUCUUUUUUACCCUUGCAUUUGUAGUUAUGUAUGAUAGAAGGUCUAACACAUUGACCAAUUGGGCUUCCUUCAUACACUCUCAUCCAAGUUCUUCAGUUGACGACUUACCAUUUCCAACUACAAAUCAGGCUCCACCCCCGUCAAAAAAGCAUCCAUUAGAAGUAGAACCCUUUCCGCCAUAUCUGGUAGGGGUGUAGAAUAGUUCAGAAAUUUUUUUAAUUUGUACACGUGUUGUCUAGCAUGAUUUUGAUUAACCGAGCCCCAAGGCUCCCUUCGUCAGUAGGUUGAAACUGAUCAAAGAUUCUCUGUUUCAAAUCUUCCUAUGAUGUUACCUUUUUCCGAUUGUUACUCCAGCGAAACCAAUUUACUUCAUCUCAAGUGAAGCUAACCACCUCUACCUUGACCUUCUCGUUAUCCACUAAGUCAUUUAUCUCAAAAAUAAAAAUGUUCAGCCCUGUAUACCCACGAUUCUGGAUUCACACCAGUGAAGAUCGACAUUUCUAACUUCUUACACUUGCUCACCCGUUCCAUGUUCAGCUGUCAAACCAACUUCCAUCACCUAAAUUUCUCCUUUCAUUUUGAGCACUGAAGCAUCGGACGUCCCUGAUUCCUCUUUUCUCCAACUAGCAGUAUUCUCUUUCAUGUCAUCCACUAGUUGAUCCACACUAUUCUUUAGCCCGAGUAUGAUUUCCUUCAAGUCCAUAAUUUCCCUUUCACUGGACUCCUUCUCUCUUCAAGUUGUUUUUUAGCAAUAGAUCUUGUUCUCCUUAGGAUGUUGAAGAUCUAAUACCAAUUUGUUAAGAUUCUCAACCUAAAACUAAAAAAAAUCCCAACAAUGGCAAAACAAAAACAGUACUUUGUUGUAAUAUAUUGAUUAUGAUAACCAAAAUGCUCAACAAACCAACUACGAUCACAUGAUGAAUAGAAAGUAAAUGCAAAAAAGUAAUAAGAAAUAAUAAACCCAGCUCCUUCGAGAAGGCUGGAAACCGCUCCUAAAAAGCCUACAACAGCUUUCACCAAAAUCAAGACUUAAUCCGUCAAUCCCAAAACAUUCCCUGUUUAUACCCACAUACAAGGUGAGCUGUCCGGUGCUUCUUUCCUCUCCCAUCAGCUCUCCCUUUGAAUUAUUCUAUGAAUUUCCCUUCCUGCCUUUUCUUUUAUAAGUGUGGAGGAUUGGGGGUCCAACAAAGUGAUCGCAAAACUAGCGCAAUACAUAAAAUGCUUAUGAAAGUUUAUAAGUUACUAACAUAUUUAUACACAUCAGUACUUAAAUUAAGCAAAAAGAAAGCGUUUCAUGGUGUAGCUUCUUAUGAUUCAAACACAUUAACUACCUUAAUCAUAGAAUACAAGCAUAGACAUUUCAUCCGCCAGAAACAUCAGAUCACUGUGGCUAAUGUGACCCCUAAACCUAAAUAUAGAUAUCACUAUUUCAAAAUAUAGUUUAUCAUUAUUCUCAAACUUGACUUUUCCUGAUUCAUGAAAAUAAUUAUAAAGCUAAAAUUCAUCCAACAAAAAACAAAUGCAAAUAGAAAAUCAGCUUCCAGAAAAUUAUCAACUCUUUCUUGUCCACGGAAGAAUUCAUUCUGAAAUUAUGGAUAUGGUCUAAAUUCCAAACUAUACAAAUACAUCAUAUUGUCCUUCUCUCUUUCGAUGUAGCUCAUAACAGAUCAAGAAAGUAAAGAAUUAAAUUAUCAGUUAUGCACCUUCGGGGAGCCAACCACAGCUGUGGCGUGAGAUAGAGAGCAUUGAAGUCAUCAAAGCUGAGGACGACACAGAGUGAAAUGGCAUCAUUGACUCCAAACAGAAGCUCAUCUCAGGCGCACACCUUCAAGCAAAAUAGAUUACCUUAUUUUACUGAAACGUUUCACAACUAAAACACUGAAGAGAGAAAUAAAGAUGAAGAUUGAACACUGUUUUCGUUGUUCUACUUUUGGGGAGAACAAGAAAAACUCAAAGAGCUCUAGAUUCAGAAACUUUUCGCACUUAAAACGGACGCAAAAGCAUUAAGCAACGAACCUGAAAGUACGAUGAGAGAGGGGUUUGUUAGUUGCCAUACGAAAGGGAGAGGAUGGUGAGGGCUUGGGUUGAGAACCGAUGUGAGCAGCAGCACGGCGUGCCGAACCGGAGAAUGACCGGAAAGCAGACCGAGCACCAAUUGAGGCCAUUGAUUAUGAGAAGAAAUGAUAGAUUCUGAAGGUUGUUCGUCUUGGCUUCGGAAUAUGAACAAGAGAGAACUAACUCUUGCUUCUUGGCUGGCUGCUGAGUGAGGGCUAGAGCUAAAACCCUGCUUUGGG